RNAcentral lists this ribosomal RNA (497 nucleotides) under uncultured bacterium. RNAcentral describes it as "partial 16S ribosomal RNA". It matches the Rfam family "Bacterial small subunit ribosomal RNA", at positions 28 to 507 of the family's 1533-position model. The record is from RNAcentral.
GAUGAACGCUGGCGGCGUGCCUAAUACAUGCAAGUCGAGCGAACGGACGAGAAGCUUGCUUCUCUGAUGUUAGCGGCGGACGGGUGAGUAACACGUGGAUAACCUACCUAUAAGACUGGGAUAACUUCGGGAAACCGUAGCUAAUACCGGAUAAUAUUUUGAACCGCAUGGUUCAAAAGUGAAAGACGGUCUUGCUGUCACUUAUAGAUGGAUCCGCGCUGCAUUAGCUAGUUGGUAAGGUAACGGCUUACCAAGGCAACGAUGCAUAGCCGACCUGAGAGGGUGAUCGGCCACACUGGAACUGAGACACGGUCCAGACUCCUACGGGAGGCAGCAGUAGGGAAUCUUCCGCAAUGGGCGAAAGCCUGACGGAGCAACGCCGCGUGAGUGAUGAAGGUCUUCGGAUCGUAAAACUCUGUUAUUAGGGAAGAACAUAUGUGUAAGUAACUGUGCACAUCUUGACGGUAGCUAAUCAGAAAGCCACGGCUAACUACGUG